Molecule: ribosomal RNA, 483 nt
Filed under: uncultured bacterium
Lineage: Bacteria
Description: partial 16S ribosomal RNA
Rfam family: Bacterial small subunit ribosomal RNA
Source: RNAcentral
AUUGAACGCUGGCGGCAGGCCUAACACAUGCAAGUCGAGCGGAUGAAGGGAGCUUGCUCCUGGAUUCAGCGGCGGACGGGUGAGUAAUGCCUAGGAAUCUGCCUGGUAGUGGGGAUAACGUCCGGAAACGGGCGCUAAUACCGCAUACGUCCUGAGGGAGAAAGUGGGGGAUCUUCGGACCUCACACUAUCAGAUGAGCCUAGGUCGGAUUAGCUAGUUGGUGGGGUAAAGGCCUACCAAGGCGACGAUCCGUAACUGGUCUGAGAGGAUGAUCAGUCACACUGGAACUGAGACACGGUCCAGACUCCUACGGGAGGCAGCAGUGGGGAAUAUUGGACAAUGGGCGAAAGCCUGAUCCAGCCAUGCCGCGUGUGUGAAGAAGGUCUUCGGAUUGUAAAGCACUUUAAGUUGGGAGGAAGGGCAGUAAGUUAAUACCUUGCUGUUUUGACGUUACCAACAGAAUAAGCACCGGCUAACUUCGUG